UCCAGAGGCCCAGAGCCACACGGAGCAGUACACCAUCCCUCACGCCACGCGCUCGUGCUACCGCCGCCGGGAACUCACGACCGGCGAGCCGGCACCGGCGGGUACUCGGAGCACGUUUUGCGGGCGUGCUUGACCCAGCGCACCAGGCUGCCGCUCGGCUUUGUGUACGCGGUCCCGCCCCGGUCUCCUCGUCCCCACCCCGGCAGGCACGAUGCCGCCGGCGCCGGCGUACGCCGUGCUCGCCGCCGCCUUCAGGACAAACAGCCCCAUAUCCGUUACUAGGUGUCUCGGCGUACUUGCCUCUCGCACGCGAGCUGCUCGGCCCAAUGCGUUAGAGGCAUUUCCUCGCGCAUCCUCUCCUCCAAGCUCUCAUUCAAGCCUUCUUCCAAGAAUAUACGCUCUAGCGUCACCAAGACUCUGCCACACCAGCGCUCAGGAAGGCCCCUACAACGUCUGUGCCGGCGAAGUUCUGCGAGUCCUCAAGUCCUGCGAUGCCGACGCUGACCUCCGCAAAGACCUCCGCCGGUUCGCCGGUGAGAUGGACGAGGACGUCGUUCUCAAGGUGCUCCAGAAGCAGAGGUCUAACUGGCAGGUGGCGCUGUCGUUCUUCAACUGGGCGGCGGGGCUGCCUGGAUACGCCCAUGGUCCAAGGACCUACACCGAGAUGCUCGACAUCCUCGGGCGGAUGAAGAAGGUCAGGCUGAUGAGGCAGGUUUUCGACGAGAUCCCCGAGGAGCGCCGCGGGCCUGUCGUGACCAACAGGAUGUUUGCGGUCCUGCUGAACCGGUACGCGGGGGCGCACAAGGUGCAGGAGGCCAUCGAGAUGUUCUACAAGAGGGGGGAGUACGGGUUCGAGGUCGACUUGGUUGGGUUCCAGAUACUCCUCAUGUCGCUUUGCCGGUACAAGCAUGUCGAGGAGGCUGAGGCCCUCUUUCUCCUGAAGAAAGACGAGUUCCCUCCUGUCAUAAAGAGCUGGAACAUCAUUCUCAACGGUUGGUGUGUCAAGGGGAGCCUGCCUGAUGCUAAAAGGGUUUGGAACCAGAUCAUCGAAUCGAAGCUCAAGCCGGACCUGUUCACGUAUGGCACGUUCAUAAAUGCGCUGACCAAAGCUGGCAAACUUAGCACGGCGGUGGAACUGUUUACGAGCAUGUGGGAGAAAGGAAUCAACCCCGACGUGGCGAUCUGCAACUGUAUCAUCGACCAAUUGUGCUUCAAGAAAAAGAUUCCGGAAGCACUUGAGAUCUUUCGUGAGAUGAAUGACCGUGGUUGUCAAGCAGAUGUGGCCACCUACAACACUUUGAUUAAACACUUCUCUAAAAUAAGGCGGACGGAAAAAGUUUAUGAGCUUCUUGAUGAUAUGGAGCAGAAGGGAUGCUGUCCAAACAAUAUGACAUACAGCUACAUUCUGAAGACGACUGAGAAACCGAGAGAUGUUAUUAAUUUGAUUCAGAGGAUGGAGGAAUCAGGUUGUAGGUUGGACUCUGACACCUAUAACCUUAUAUUGAACCUUUAUGUCAGCAUGAAAUAUGAAAAGGGGGCGCAACAAGUAUGGGAGGAGAUGGAGAGGAAUGGCUCAGGUCCUGAUCAGAGAUCAUUUACUAUCAUGGUUCAUGGGCUUCAUUCCCAGGGUAAGCUGGACCAGGCUUUGGAUUAUUACACGACAAUGAAGUCAAGAGGGAUGACUCCAGAACCAAGAACUAGGAUAUUGGUGAAAGCAAUACAUAUGAAGAAAGAUGAGCCCGACAAUGAAGACCGGUCUCCAAGUAGGGCCGGGAAGUAUCUGAAACUGGAUCGACGAUCAGGACUAUUCCAUGUUCAUAAAUAGUUCACCGGCAGAAUCUGCUUCUGUAAUCCUAGCAGAAGGUGAUGGGAAAUUGGGUUUAUGGGUCGUGAUCUGGUCUGUCAGUUUCUAGGUCCCCAAGCCCACCUCUUGGGCUGAAAAAAAAACAUAAGAGAAGAAUCAUUGGCAAUAUGUUGCCCCAGAAGUUAUGCUCUUUGAAAUGUCAUAGCAGGAUAUGUUUAGGAUGUAUUGGGAAAUUCAAUUGCAGGUACAUAAUUUUUCCAAUCUCCAGUUCAGUUUUUGUUGAUUCUGUAUGGCCGAUGGCACUGAUAGAGUAUGCAGUGGUCCUUAAUUAUAUUGGUUUCUGCUCUUCCCCGGUACCGGUCAUACUUUUCUAAUAAUUCAUUGCACUGGCUCUAAUUGUCUUGCUCCCCAUUGGCUAUUGCUCUCCUGCACACAAGUGAGUAUAUUUUAGACUAACGGAGCAAAAGAACGUGCGAGAUAAGCAAACGUAUCUUGGAUGCAUGAAAGAUCUUCUGGGCUCGAAAUAAUAUUUUAUAGCUUGUAUGGAUUAUAUAAGCCAAACUGAGCUAGCUAAUGCAACACUUCCAAAAUUAUACUUCCUCCGUCCAACAAAGGAUGUCUCAACUUUGUCUAAAUUUAGAUGAUCUAGAUGUUGUGUAGAUACAUCUAAAUUUAGACAAAGUUGAGACAUCCUUUGUUGAACGGAGGGAGUAAUAAACUAAGUUAUAGUUCUGCAGAAGUUGGCAACAAUUUAGUUUGGCAUAGAAGAUAUAAAUAUUCUAGUUGGACCCAGCUUGUUACGUAUUUGAGUUAAUUUUCUUAUUACAACAACAACAAAGCCUUUAUUCCCAAACAAGUUGGGGUAGGCUAGAGGUGAAACCCAUAAGAUCUCGUAACUAACUCAUGGUUCCGACACAUGGAUAGCAAGCUUCCACGCGGCUCUUUCCAUGGCUAGUUCUUUGGUGAUACUCCAGUCCUUCAGAUCUCUCUUUACGGACUCCUCCCAUGUCAAGUUUGGUCUACCCCGUCCUUUCUUGACAUUAUCAGCACGCUUUAGCCGUCCACUAUGCACUGGAGCUGGAGGCCCACGCUGAAUAUGUCCAAUCCAUCUUAGACGAUGUUGGACAAGCUUCUCUGCAAUCGGUGCUACCCCAACUCUAUCUCGUAUAUCAUCAUUCCGGACUCGGUCCUUCCUCGUAUGGCCACACAUCCAUCUCAAAAUGCACAUCUCCGCCACACCUAACUGUUGAACAUGCCGCCAUUUAGUCGGCCAACACUCAGCGCCAUACAACAUUGUGGGUCAAACCGCCGUCCUAUAGAACUUGCCUUUUAGCUUUUGUAGCACUCUCUUAUCACAAAGAAUGCCAGAAGCUUGGCGCCACUUCAUCCAUCCGGCUUUAAUCCGGUGGUUCACAACUUCAUCAAUAUCCUCAUCCUUGCGCAGGAUUGACCCCAAGUAUCGAAAGGUGUCCUUCUGAGGCACCACUUGCCCAUCCAGGCUAACCUCCUCCUCCCCGUACCUAGUAGUACUAAAACCGCACAUCAUGUACUCAGUUUUAGUUCUACUAAGUCUAAAACCUUUCGAUUCCAAGGUUUGUCUCCAUAGUUCUAACUUCCUAUUGACCCCCGUUCGAGUAUCAUCGAUUAGGACCACAUCAUCCGCAAUGAGCAUACACCAUGGGAUAUCUCCUUGUAUAUCCCUUGUGACCUCAUCCAUCACCAAAUCAAAUAGGUAAGGGCUCAAAGCUGACCUUGGUGUAGUCCUAUUUUAAUCGGGAAGUCAUCGGUAUCGCCAUCUCUUGUUCGAACACUUGUCACAACAUUAUCGUACAUGUCCUUGAUGAGGGUAAUGUACUUUGCUGGGACUUUGUGUUUCUCCAAGGCCCACCACAUGACGUGUCGCGGUAUCUUAUCGUAGGCCUUCUCCAAGUCAAUGAACACCAUAUGUAGGUCCUUCUUUUGCUCCUUGUAUCUCUCCAUGAGUUGUCGUACCAAGAAGAUGGCUUCCAUGGUCGACCUCCGAGGCAUGAAACCAACCUGAUUUUUGGUCACGCUUGUCAUUCGUCUUAAACGGUGCUCAAUGACUCUCCCAUAGCUUCAUUGUAUGGCUCAUAAGCUUAAUUCCACGGUAGUUAGUAUAACUCUGAACAUCCCCUUUGUUCUUGAAGAUUGGUACUAAUAUACUGCGUCUCCAUUCUUCUGGCAUCUUGUUUGCCCGAAAAAUGGAGUUGAAGAUCUUAGUUAGCCAUACUAUCGCUAUAUCUCCAAGGCCUCUCCACACCUCAAUGGGGAUACAAUCAGAGCCCAUUGCCUUGCCUCCCUUCAUCCUUCUCAACGCCUCCUUGACCUCAGACUCCUGGAUUCGCCGCACAAACGCCUACCGGUAUCAUCAAAGGAGUUGUUUAGUUCAAUGGUAGAGCUCUCAGUGUCCCCAUUGAUCAGCCUGUCGAAAUACUCCCGCUAGCUAUGCCCUUGAUGCAUUUGACUUGGUCAACAUCCCUCGUCUUCCUCUCUCGGAUCUUGGCCAUCCUAUAGAUGUCCUUUUCGCCUUCCUUCGUGCCUAACCGCUGGUAGAGGUCCUCAUACGCCUGACCCCUUGCUUCACUCACAGCUCGCUUUACGGCCUUCUUUGCCAUCUUGUACUUCUCCAUGUUGUCUGCACUCCUAUCCCCUAUCCAGGUACAUGCGUCUGAAACAAUAUUUCUUCUCCUUAAUAGCCUUCUGGAUAGCAGUGUUCCACCACCAGGUAUCCCUAACUUCGCUUCUACUUCCCCUGGACACUCCAAACUCCUCUAAGGCACCUUACGAAUACAGGUCCCCAUCUUCAUCCACAUACUAUCCGCAUCACCUCCUUCCUCCCAAGGGCCCUCCUUAAUGACCCUCUCCUUGAACGUCUGAGCUACCUCCCCCUUGAGCUUCCACCACUUCGUUCUAGCGAUUUUCACACGCUUAUCCCGCUGAACACGAAGUCGAAAGCGGAAGUCAGCCACCACAAGCUUAUGCUGAUGGACAACACUCUCUCGAGGCAUCACCAUACAAUCUAGGCACGCACUCCUGUCUUCUCUCCUUGAGAGGAUCAAGGCCACUACUAAAAGUCACUAGAUGUGAUUUUCUGUUUUUAAAGAGGGUGUUAUCUACGAUCAUGUCAUACGCUAAAGCGAAGCUUAGGACAUCUUCCCCUUCUUGAUUCCUGAUGUCAUAGCAAAAGCCCCCAUGCACCCUUCAAAACCUAUGUUAGAUGUACGCACGUGGCCAUUAAGGUCUCCUCCUAUGAAGAGCUUUUUGCCACUGGGUAUACCCCUAACCAAGUCCUCUAGGCCUUCCCGGAACUCCCUCUUGGUGUUCUCAUUGUGGCCUAUUUGCGGGGUAUAAGCGCUAAUAACAUUGAGAACUAAGUCCCCAACUACCAGCUUGACUAAGAUAAUCCGGUCCCCACAUCUCUUGAUGUCUACCACUCCAGAUUUGAGGCUCUUGUUGAUCAAGAUGCCUACUCCAUUUCUGUUUGGAGCCGUUCCCGUAUACCACAGCUUGAAGCUGGUAUCCUCUACUUCCUUCGCCUUCUGUCCCCUCCAUUUGGUCUCCUGGACGCAAAGGAUAUCAACACCUCUCCUCACCGCUGUAUCAACUAGCUCCCGAAGCUUACGUGGACCCUACGUUCCAGCUACCUAAGCGAAACCUCCUAGGCUCGGUUAAUUUUCUUAUUAAGCGUAAAAAAAAGAGAGUUAAUUUUCUUAUUUGUCCACUUCAAUCAUUUGUUUUCUCCAGUACAGCACAAAACCUUUUGCAGAAUAGUCAGACAGUGACGUAGUUGAAAUGUGUGAUACCAGAACUAGCCUCCCCUAGGUUACGCAUAGAAGGAAUUCAGGCUUAAGUAUAAACUACUGUAAUACUAUGGGCAAUGCAGCGCUGUACUCUACGCUGGAAUGUUUGGGGUAUUGACUGCAUCGCUACAUAUGUGAUACUGUCUAAAGGCUACGAAUUGCCAGUGCCUACAUCAGCCAAACUCCUGCCGUUUUUUGAAAAUCUUGUAUAUGUCCAGCAUGUUUAGAAGUUAUUUUGAGCUGAACAUUUCAUUUACUUGAGACACAUCCCACGCAAGAGCCAUUCAGAUUCAGAUCCUGAAUUUCCAAGGCUUAAAGCUCUCUCUGGCAAGUCUAGGAAACAAUAACAUUUUUAAGUUUAACGAUCCCAUUGCAACUGUACCUGAUUCAGUUCUCCGAUUACCUUCUCUAUGGACAGCUGUCGCUUCUCAGAUUACAAUGCCAUCCACAAUCCCUUUCAGCAAUUAUUACCACUGAAUGCAAUUGACAAUUCAGUCAAUUUGUUAUACAUUUCAUUUCAGAGCCAGUUGGUAGUGCAUUGAAGGAAUUUGUUUGUAUAUCUUGUAAUCAUGUGGGCGCACAAUACUGAAUUCCAUACCGGUAAUAAACUUUGAUGCUGCCUGAAGGGUUCAAGGCUUGAAGUUGCCUCCUGCUUUUUGGCUGAACUUAUCCAGUCAGUUUACAAACAUGUUCAGGCUUUGCACAUUUACAACCCUGCAAUUAGUUGAACUAUUCAUUUACCUAUCUUCUUUAGAUGAAGCAUUUAGCUCUUCAAAAUUCAUUUACCCGGAUGCAACCUCAGCAACAAUCCAUUCAAAUCUGAUUCUGUUUCUCUGGCUACUUUAGUUGAACAUCCAGUCAUCUUACAAUCAUAUUAGUCUAAAAUCUAAUCCAUUUUUUUACAUUCAGGUGCUAAAGUUGCACUCCCUCUAUCCCUAAAAAAACUGCUCAACUUUGUCUACAUACGGAUGUAUAUAGACAUAUUUUAGUUAUAGAUACAUUUCAAUCUAGAAAAAGUUGAGCAGCUUCUUUUUUGGGAUGGAGGGAGUACCACCUUUUUUUUUCUGUUGAGUAUAUAGAUCCACCACUCAAUGGCCACACAGGGACAACCAUAUCUAGUUCCAUAUUGGCAUUUGGCCAUUUUUGCACCGUCAAUCUGCAGAAGCUACCAGGUAAGCAAUUGCCCUGUUGCUAACUUGCUGUUGCUGCCACUGAACAACUUCCUGCUUUUUUCCCCCUUGUACUCCUUUAUGUUAUAAGGUUCUUAUAUUAUAGAAGUAUUGUAUCAAAGGAAAUAUUUGUCAUGCAUAAAAUUUGAAAUUUUGAGUCCAUAAGAAGGGACAUAUUAUACAUACCAGAUUGAUUUUGGAAGAAGGAAUCACUGUUUAUUAUUCUAUAUUCUUUUCCUCGGUGGCUUAGUUUGUAAAGUACUAGAUCUAUUUUAUAAUAUAUGUUUUGUAAAAGAUAAUUUUAAUUAGUUUUGUGGGAUUAAAGUUAAUAUCAUGAUGCAUGUUUAACAGGCUGAGUUAGCUGAAUUAUUUCAAUUUUUUUUCAGGAAAAUAUAUAGUAUGCUGAUUGUUGAGUUCAGAAACCAAAAGCUAUAGAUGAUUUUAAUGUUGCGCUUUUUAUUUGCUAAAGUAUAUGUUCCAUCAUUUUGAAUCCCAACUGAGAGAAGCAAUUUAAUUAAGUUUGCUUACUGAACAAAUAAUCAGAGUUUAUAGAUCAACAUCGCCAUGUCAACCUCCAACUGCUGACCAGGAAUAGGUUAUUUUGUGAAUAACUGAAUCAAAAUCUUGUCUAGAUAUAGAAAAAUACCAUGUUUACUGAAUGCAUAAUCAAGGUAAUCCAUGAGCAUUUUAGGAGUAAGCUUGUUAGUGACUGGUGAGGUACUGAGCUUUCCUAAUAUGGUUUGGGCCCUAGCAACUUGAAGUGGUAUGAAAACAGUCAAGGCUUAGACCACCCUGCAUCAUGUUGACGGCUUAUCUAUUGUAUGUUCACACUUCAUGCUGACUAAAGAAAUUUUUUAUGAAGGGGGAAGAAUACUGUGGUCAGCCAAACUGAACCAGGAGAGCCGUACAGAAACUCUCAGGUGUCACUGUCACUAAGUCAGCACUAGAAAGAUAAUAGUAAUUUAGUUCUCUCAAGGAUGCGAUGUACGUUACUUCUUUUUCUGUUUGGUCAUCGCAUCCUUCGUGGAGGAUUAUCACUCGAUAAGCUAUGUGCAAAAUACGAACCAUAUCUGCUAAAUAGUGAAUAGUUACUUCAGAACUUCAAAGCCUUUCAACUUAGCUGGGAGGAUGUGGCAUUCAGCCUUGGGCAGUCGGUGGUGGUGCUGAGCCUGCCCUCGUACGCUCUCACAGGUACCCUCUCUCUAGCCAUCGGAAAGCUUGCAUUCCUCCAAACACUGAACCUGACCUCCAGUUGGUUCCAAGGGGACGCCCCCUCAAACAUCGGCCGUCUAGUGCAUCUGGAGAACUUGACCUGAUCGGCUGAGCUACAACUCCUCUUGUAUGAUCCCUGUCAAUCUAAGCUUUUGUUUGAGCUUGAUUUCCUUGAGGCUCAGCAACAACCAGCUCCAUGGGCGAAUUCCUGUUGAGCUCGGCAACAUGCUCACAAGCCUCCAGAGGCUCUCACUUAAGAACAACAGCUUGACUGGGGCCAUCCCAGUAUCACUGUCCAACCUUUCCUCCCUGUACCAACUUGAUCUUGCUAAAAAUCAUCUUGCAGGACCAAUCCCAUCCGGGUUUGGCAACUUUCAAGGCCUUAAGUUCCUUGAUCUCUAUGAAAACAACCUCUCCGGUGUGCUUCCGCACUCCAUAUACAAUCUCUCCUUGUUGAAAGACUUCCAGGUAGAGGUGAACAUGCUAUUUGGAACUAUUCCUGCUGAUAUUGGCAGCACGUUCCCCAGCAUCGAAAUUCCGAGCUUUUCAGACAACCGAUUUAGUGGAGCUAUCCCAUAUUUGCUUUCCAAUCUCUCUGCUCUCGUAAAACUUGGCUUCGCAGGGAACCGUUUCAGUGGAUAUGUUCCUCCCAUUUUUGCGAGUUUGCAAGGCCUCACUGACCUGUACUUGAAUGCCAACCAGCUUGAUGCAGACUACAUGGAGGGUUGGGAGUUCAUCACAUCACUGACAAACUGCAGCCAGCUACAGCGUAUGGUUCUUGGCAACAACUCCUCCAGUGGCCAAGUGACUACUUCAAUCACAAACCUGUCGACCUCUCUCCAGAAUCUUUAUCUUGGAGACAAUAUAAUUUAUGGGGCUAUUCCAUUCAACAUUGUCAAUUUGGUUGGUCUGAACAUACUUAAGAUGCGAAUACUUCCCUAUUAGGCGUGAUUCCAGAUAGCAUCGGUAAGCUGGAAAACUUGGUUGAGUUAGGCCUGUACAGAACUAGUUUAUCAGGCUUCAUACCUUCUUCACUUGGAAACCUUACACAGCUGAGUAGGCUUUAUGCAUGCCAUGUCAACUUGGAGGGACCAAUUCCAGCAAACCUGAAAUUGAAGAAUCUGUUUGUCCUUGAUCUGUCAACGAAUUGACUUAAUGGUUCAGUCCCCAGAGAGGUUUUACAGCUCCCUUCACUUUCCUUUUACUUGGACUUAUCAUAAAAUUCAUUCUCUGGGCCACUUCCUACUGAAGUUGGUAGCUUGGGAGACCUCAAUCAACUGAUUUUAUUAGGAAACCAAUUGUCAGGUAGUAUUCCGGAAAGCAUUGGAAACUGCAUGGUAUUGGAACGACUAUUGCUGGAUCAGAACUUGUUUGAGGGAAGCAUACCUCAAUCUCUGAAGAAUAUAAAAGGUCUCAGUUUGCUGAUCUGACCACGAAUAAGCUGUUCGGUAGUAUUCCUGAUGUCCUAGGUAAAUGGUAAGCUUUGUGGUGGAAUACCUCAGAUUAAUUUAGCUCCAUGCUCCAUACAUACUGCAGGAAGGAGCAAAGUGCAGUUGCCAAAAUCUGUUAUGAUAGCUCUGACAGCCACUGGUGCCCUCUUGUUGUUCUUUUUAGUAGUUCUUCUUAUUCAGUUGAUUCAUAUGAAGCCAGUCAGAGACAGAAGAUCAAAUUAACCAGAGCAAUCGAGUGACAGUAUGGAAGGGUUUCUUACCAUGAAUUGUCAAAUGGAACCAGCGAAUUUUCAGAAAUCAAUUUGCUUGGAAAAGGAAGCUAUUGUGCUUUUUAUAAGUGCAGUUUAUCUGAUGAGGAUACUACUACAGCUGUGAAGGUGUUUAAUAUACUGCAGUCCGGGUCUAUUAGAAGUUUUGUGGCUGAAUGCGAAGCACUGAGAAGGGCACGUCAUCUCAUUAAAACCAUCACCUGUUGCUCAAGUAUCAAUCCUCAAGGUCAAGAGUUCAAGGCUUUGGUUUUUGAGUUCAUGCCCAAUGGCAGUUUGGAAGAUUGGCUUCAUCCGAAAUCUAAGUCGCCAACCCCAAGCAAUACGCUCAGCCUAGCCCGGAGACUAGAUAUUGCCAUCGAUUACAUGGUUCGCAAUCAUUGCCAGCCACCAAUAAUUCAUUGCGAUCUCAAACCAAGCAACAUCCUUCUUGCAGAAGAUAUGAGCGGCAGAGUUGGGGAUUUUGGCAUAUGAAAAAUCCUUCCUGAUGAUACAGGCCAAACCUUGUUAAGUUCAAUUAGCUUUGCUGGACUAAGAGGUUCCAUUGGUUAUGUUGCUCCAGAUGUUCACUGGAAGGAGCCCUACUGAUGACAUGUUCAAAGAUUCCUUGGACCUGCAUAAAUUUGCUGUAGCUACUCUUCCCAACAGAGCCAUGGAGAUAGCCGAUCAAACAAUUUGGCUACAUGAAGAAAGGACUUGGGUGCUGCCGAGGUAAACAUUUUGAGAAGCAGAAGAGCGGAAUGCUUGGUUUCAGUGAUUGCACUUGGUGUAUCCUGCUCAGAGCGUAAUCCACGAGAGCCCUGCUGAUGAGAGAUGCUGCUGCGGAGAUGCAUGCUAUCCAAGAUGCCUACCUCAGCAUUCCCACUUCUCUAGUUGGGAAUCCGGAAGUCAAAAAGAAGCCACCACCCCCAGUGUCCUGAAACAAUAAUUGAGGCCAUCUUCUCUUACUUUCGAGAUAUUUAGCACUGAAACUAUAUGUACCAUGUGUGUGAACUGUCACCGAAAUGACCUUGCUUCACUAGUAGUCUGAACGACUGUACAUGAUAAAUAUAUAUUGAAGAGUUAAAACAUCAUUUGGGAAAGAAUUACAUCA
RNA transcript from Lolium perenne, 10816 nucleotides. It is a transcript of the gene named putative pentatricopeptide repeat-containing protein At3g15200, with no coding region annotated. NCBI's taxonomy places the organism in Eukaryota, Viridiplantae, Streptophyta, Magnoliopsida, Poales, Poaceae. The record is from RefSeq and is a predicted model, not a curated record.